UACGUAGGGAGCGAGCGUUGUCCGGAAUUACUGGGCGUAAAGGGUGCGUAGGCGGCGCAGCAAGUCAGGUGUGAAAUCCCCGGGCUUAACUCGGGGGGUGCAUUUGAAACUGCUGUGCUUGAGUGCAGGAGAGGAAAGCGGAAUUCCUAGUGUAGCGGUGAAAUGCGUAGAUACUAGGAGGAACACCAGUGGCGAAGGCGGCUUUCUGGACUGUAACUGACGCUGAAGCACGAAAGCGUGGGGAGCAAACAGGAUUAGAUACCCUGGUAGUCCACGCUGUAAACGAUGGAUACUAGGUGUGGGGGAGAUACAACCUCCGUGCCGGAGCAAACGCAAUAAGUAUCCCGCCUGGGGAGUACGGUCGCAAGGCUGAA
This 374-nucleotide ribosomal RNA is filed under the name uncultured bacterium. RNAcentral describes it as "bacterial SSU rRNA". It matches the Rfam family "Bacterial small subunit ribosomal RNA", at positions 524 to 898 of the family's 1533-position model. The record is from RNAcentral.